GGUAAGAUGGCCGAGUUGGUCUAAGGCGUCAGGUUAAGGUCCACCUUAGCAUAAAUUCCUGAUCUCGUUUACGGGGCGUGAGUUCGAAUCUCACUCUUAUCA
Penicillium brasilianum is the source of this 102-nucleotide transfer RNA. It matches the Rfam family "tRNA". From Rfam's summary of the family: Transfer RNA (tRNA) molecules are approximately 80 nucleotides in length. Their secondary structure includes four short double-helical elements and three loops (D, anti-codon, and T loops). Further hydrogen bonds mediate the characteristic L-shaped molecular structure. tRNAs have two regions of fundamental functional importance: the anti-codon, which is responsible for specific mRNA codon recognition, and the 3' end, to which the tRNAs corresponding amino acid is attached (by aminoacyl-tRNA synthetases). tRNAs cope with the degeneracy of the genetic code in two manners: having more than one tRNA (with a specific anti-codon) for a particular amino acid; and 'wobble' base-pairing, i.e. permitting non-standard base-pairing at the 3rd anti-codon position. The record is from Rfam. NCBI's taxonomy places the organism in Eukaryota, Fungi, Ascomycota, Eurotiomycetes, Eurotiales, Aspergillaceae.